This 305-nucleotide ribosomal RNA is filed under the name uncultured bacterium. RNAcentral describes it as "bacterial SSU rRNA". It matches the Rfam family "Bacterial small subunit ribosomal RNA", at positions 337 to 658 of the family's 1533-position model. The record is from RNAcentral.
ACCUACGGGAGGCAGCAGUGGGGAAUAUUGCACAAUGGGGGAAACCCUGAUGCAGCAACGCCGCGUGAGUGAAGAAGUAUUUCGGUAUGUAAAGCUCUAUCAGCAGGGAAGAAGAAAGACGGUACCUGACUAAGAAGCCCCGGCUAACUACGUGCCAGCAGCCGCGGUAAUACGUAGGGGGCAAGCGUUAUCCGGAUUUACUGGGUGUAAAGGGAGCGUAGACGGCAUAGCAAGUCUGAAGUGAAAGCCCGUGGCCCAACCCCGGAACUGCUUUGGAAACUGUGCAGCUCGAGUGCAGGAGAGGU